CCCUCAAGCUUCGAGGCUGCUCGAGAAAAAAAAAUGCCCUAUGCACGCCCGCAAGCCCGCUCGCGCCGCCUCGGCUGCCAUGCACGUUCACCCUUGGCGGCUUUUAAGGCACCACCCGCCGGGCGCUUGCUGUUCCCUAUGCCGCGUCGCCUCUCUUUCCGCUCGGGGCGCUGCCCGCCAAGCUGCAGGGGGAGAAGAGGAGGAAAGCAAUGAGAAACCAGAGGGAGGAGACGUACCAGUACUUCGCCGCCUCCGAGAUGGGUAAGGAUUCCGUUGCCGAUGAGUAAACAAAGGGGAAGGGUCAGGCCAUGGAUGCAGGCCCACUCGCUGCUGCGUGCCAAGGCCCUGGUAUUCAAUCUCAUCAACAACUUCUUGCUGGAGCCUGGAGGACAAUGUGGUUGCCCUAUCUGGUUCGCUCGCCUCGCAUUGCCGUGGCAAUAUCAUCUUUCAUAUUCAGGCCUGCUCUUUCAGAUUCAGACAUGCACCAUGACCGAUUUGCUUUCCUAUAACUUUCUUGUUUCUAUCAAGAUGCAGACCAUCAAAUUAGCUUGCUGGAUUUCAAUUAAUGAUUAUUUGUUUGAGUUUGCCUUGUUGGAUUAUGAUUUUGAAAUAGAUUUUUUGGGCACUGAAAUAAUCAAAUGAACUUGCAAGUUAUAGAAAAAUUUUGCUCAUUUCUUUUCAUGUACAUCUGCGCAGGCUGCGCCAUGGCUUCUGGGAGUGAUGAUUUGCACCAGUGCCCCCAACCAGACCAGAUACUCGGGGUGUCGUUCUUCAUGAAAUCUGAGACCGAAGAGAUGAAUUUCUCAGAGAAAUUUGAUGUCGAGUUAAACGAGCCCUACCUGGUGUUCAAGGUAUGCAACACUUCUUCAGUCCUAUUAAAUGAGCCCUGCCUAUUUUUUAUAUGUUGAUUGUUGAAUAAGAUGAGUACUAUAUAAAACUGAUUUCUUCCAUUGGGCACUUCCAAAAAUAAAUGAAGUACCGUAAAGUUUUGUUUCUUCCUAUAUAAAUAGUUUUAGCCAUGGGCAGAAAGCAGGAUGGGUCCUUGCUUCAACAAUUGCUCGAGCCCCCUAGUUGUGAAAUACUAAGUUGACAGCAGGAAGGCUUAUUAAGAUGCUCAUAAUGUGCUUAAGAUUUAAUUUCUCAUAUCGUGUCUGCUUGUAUAAAUAGUAUUGACCUAAUCUUCAUGUACCAAUUCCUCAGCUUUGUGGAAUAAGCUAUGCUGAGAUGAUGCUCUCCAUCCUCCUGAUGGAUUGGAAGUCUUCGAAUGUCAUGGGAAAUAAUGCUGCAAGGAAAAUGGCAGAUUGAUGGUGGCCUGCAAAUACAUUUUUCUCUUACAAUGGCUUUGGAUCAGGAGGCUGAGGUGGUGGCGAUUAUUUCUUUUCCCCUGAUAAGCACUAGCAAGCAGCGCUCCUUUUGUUUCGGCUAUUCUCAUGCCUAAAAAAUAACAAACUUACUUUCAGAAAACUAAUCAGUGGACAAAUUAAUUUGUGAUGGCUUUCAGAUACUGUUUACUAUUUUAUGGGAACUAGAUACUUGAAUGAGAAGUAAUAAAUCACGUCGUCUCCUGAACUACCAUAUGUUCAGGUGCCAUAGAGAAGAGCUACACGUAUUUAGGUGCUCAUGGGUUGGUGCAGAAGAUUGAAGCUACAAGCAUGCUACUACUGAGGAUCAUGCCUCAGGUGUCACAAAAUCUUGUGUCCGUCACUUAAAUUCAUUGGUUGAAAAAUCGGAUGCUGGCAACCGAAUUGCCCAAUAGUCUUUUUUUUAUUGACGAUGAUUUGUACUGUUUAAUGUAUAGUGCAUUUCUCCAUUGCUACAUGUGGUUAAAAAUAUUUCAUAUGAUAAAGAUCCAUGCUUAUAGAUGAAUUU
This is an RNA transcript of Panicum hallii, 1869 nucleotides long. RefSeq lists it as uncharacterized. The transcript is spliced from 3 exons. Lineage: Eukaryota; Viridiplantae; Streptophyta; Magnoliopsida; Poales; Poaceae. The record is from RefSeq and is a predicted model, not a curated record.